Molecule: ribosomal RNA, 926 nt
Filed under: uncultured bacterium
Lineage: Bacteria
Description: bacterial SSU rRNA
Rfam family: Bacterial small subunit ribosomal RNA
Source: RNAcentral
AGAGUUUGAUCCUGGCUCAGAUUGAACGCUGGCGGCAGGCCUAACACAUGCAAGUCGAGCGGUAGAGAGAAGCUUGCUAUCUACUUGAGAGCGGCUGGACGGGUGACGUCAAUGACCUAGGAACUCUGCCUGGUAGUGGCGGUUGACUAGAUCCUGUCUCGGAAACUGGAACGCUAAUAUCCGCAUACGUCCUACGGGAGAAAGCAGGGGACCUUCGGGCCUUGCGCUAUCAGAUGAGCCUAGGUCGGAUUAGCUAGUUGGUGAGGUAAUGGCUCACCAAGGCGACGAUCCGUAACUGGUCUGAGAGGAUGAUCAGUCACACUGGAACUGAGACACGGUCCAGACUCCUACGGGAGGCAGCAGUGGGGAAUAUUGGACAAUGGGCGAAAGCCUGAUCCAGCCAUGCCGCGUGUGUGAAGAAGGUCUUCGGAUUGUAAAGCACUUUAAGUUGGGAGGAAGGGCAUUAACCUAAUACGUUGGUGUCUUGACGUUACCGACAGAAUAAGCACCGGCUAACUCUGUGCCAGCAGCCGCGGUAAUACAGAGGGUGCAAGCGUUAAUCGGAAUUACUGGGCGUAAAGCGCGCGUAGGUGGUUCGUUAAGUUGGAUGUGAAAUCCCCGGGCUCAACCUGGGAAACUGCAUUCAAAACUGACGAGCUAGAGUAUGGUAGAGGGUGGUGGAAUUUCCUGUGUAGCGGUGAAAUGCGUAGAUAUAGGAAGGAACACCAGUGGCGAAGGCGACCACCUGGACUGAUACUGACACUGAGGUGCGAAAGCGUGGGGGAGCAAACAGGAUUAGAUACCCUGGUAGUCCACGCCGUAAACGAUGUCAACUAGCCGUUGGGAGCCUUGAGCUCUUAGUGGCGCAGCUAACGCAUUAAGUUGACCGCCUGGGGAGUACGGCCAGUUAACAAGGUUGAAAACUC